GACGAACGCUGGCGGCGUGCUUAACACAUGCAAGUCGAACGCCCCGCAAGGGGAGUGGCAGACGGGUGAGUAACGCGUGGGAAUCUACCCAACUCUACGGAAUAACUCAGGGAAACUUGUGCUAAUACCGUAUACGCCCUUCGGGGAAAGAUUUAUCGGAGUUGGAUGAGCCCGCGUUGGAUUAGCUAGUUGGUGGGGUAAAGGCCUACCAAGGCGACGAUCCAUAGCUGGUCUGAGAGGAUGAUCAGCCACAUUGGGACUGAGACACGGCCCAA
RNAcentral lists this ribosomal RNA (275 nucleotides) under uncultured bacterium. RNAcentral describes it as "partial 16S ribosomal RNA". It matches the Rfam family "Bacterial small subunit ribosomal RNA", at positions 28 to 334 of the family's 1533-position model. The record is from RNAcentral.